Molecule: ribosomal RNA, 250 nt
Filed under: uncultured bacterium
Lineage: Bacteria
Description: partial 16S ribosomal RNA
Rfam family: Bacterial small subunit ribosomal RNA
Source: RNAcentral
UAAGGAAUAUUGGUCAAUGGACGAAAGUCUGAACCAGCCAUGCCGCGUGGAGGAUGAAGGUCCUCUGGAUUGUAAACUUCUUUUAUCUGGGACGAAAAAGGGGGAUUCUUCCUCAACUGACGGUACCAGAUGAAUAAGCACCGGCUAACUCCGUGCCAGCAGCCGCGGUAAUACGGAGGGUGCAAGCGUUAUCCGGAUUCACUGGGUUUAAAGGGUGCGUAGGUGGGCAGGUAAGUCAGUGGUGAAAUCU